RNAcentral lists this ribosomal RNA (292 nucleotides) under uncultured bacterium. RNAcentral describes it as "partial 16S ribosomal RNA". The record is from RNAcentral.
GGACUACCAGGGUAUCUAAUCCUUUUUGCUCCCCACGCUUUCGCGGCUCAGGGUCAGGAAGGUCCCAGUGCAAUGCCUUCGCCUUUGGUAUUCCGCACGAUAUCAACGGAUUUCACCCCUACACCGUGCGUUCUAUGCACCUCUAACCUCCUCUAGUUCUGUCGUAUCUCCUGCAGUUCCACCGUUAGGCGGUGGGCUUUAACAGAAGACGCACAAAACCCCCUACACGCGCUUUACGCCCAAUAAAUCCGGAUAACGCUUGAGGUCUACGUUUUACCGCGGCUGCUGGCAC